UAACAUGUAGCUUUUCGUUUCAAAGGCACUCAACCACCAACUCAGCCACCAACUCAGCCACCUACACCACAACCACCUACCCAACCACCGAGUCAAGGCAUGAACACCGAUUUCAACACUUUGGGGGCCUGGAGACAAGCAACAAAUGACAAAUUUGAUUGGACACUUCAUUCUGGAUGUACGUCAUCAUCAGCAACAGGAGCAUGCGCUGACCAUUCUGGAUCAGGAAAGUAUGCAUACAUCGAGACUUCGAGUCCUCGUGUAUCAGGAGACAAUGCAAGACUUACCUUCAGUGGAAAUUACGAUGGAGACUUGUGUAUGACAUUCUACUAUCAC
Molecule: long non-coding RNA, 336 nt
Organism: Actinia tenebrosa (Australian red waratah sea anemone)
Lineage: Eukaryota; Metazoa; Cnidaria; Anthozoa; Actiniaria; Actiniidae
Source: RefSeq, a predicted model, not a curated record